RNAcentral lists this ribosomal RNA (1750 nucleotides) under human gut metagenome. RNAcentral's name for it is "bacterial LSU rRNA". It matches the Rfam family "Bacterial large subunit ribosomal RNA", at positions 1150 to 2925 of the family's 2925-position model. The record is from RNAcentral.
CGAGAGGUCCUGCGCCGAAAAUGUCCGGGGCUGAAACACACUGCCGAAGCUCAGGAAUCUGCGAAUGCAGGUUGGUAGAGGAGCAUUCUUAAAGAGACGAAGCUGUACCGAAAGGAGCAGUGGAUUUUUAAGAAGAGAGAAUGCCGGAAUGAGUAGCGAGAAAGAGGUGAGAAUCCUCUUGGCCGAAUAUCUAAGGUUUCCAGGGUAAAGCUGAUCUGCCCUGGGUAAGUCGGGGCCUAAGGCGAGGUCGAAAGACGUAGUCGAUGGAUAACAGGUUGAAAUUCCUGUACUAUCCUGUAACAGAACUGUGGGGACGCAGACAGAGAGCACAAGCCGGGAAUGGAAAGACCGGUGCAAGCGAGGUAGGAGUACAUCAGGCAAAUCCGGUGUGCAAUCCGAAGACGUGAUGCGGAUCGAAAAGAAGUAGAGAAGUGUGUGAGCUGGCUGCCAAGAAAAGCCGCUAUUGUUUACAGGAUACCCGUACCGUAAACCGACACAGGUGGAUGAGGAGAGAAUCCUAAGGCCGACGGGAGAAGCAUUGUUAAGGAACUCGGCAAAAUGACUCCGUAACUUCGGGAGAAGGAGUGCCAUGCGAAUGGCCGCAGAGAAUUGGCCCAAGCAACUGUUUAGCAAAAACACAGGUCUAUGCGAAACCGAAAGGUGAGGUAUAUGGGCUGACGCCUGCCCGGUGCUGGAAGGUUAAGGGGAGAGGUUAGCGCAAGCGAAGCUUUGAACUUAAGCCCCAGUAAACGGCGGCCGUAACUAUAACGGUCCUAAGGUAGCGAAAUUCCUUGUCGGGUAAGUUCCGACCCGCACGAAAGGCGUAAUGAUUUGGGCACUGUCUCAACAAUGCACCCGGUGAAAUUGAAAUACCAGUGAAGAUGCUGGUUACCUGCGCCAGGACGGAAAGACCCCAUGGAGCUUUACUCUAGCUUGAUACUGGGAUUCGAUAUUGCAUGUACAGGAUAGGUGGGAGACUAGGAAGUGGUGACGCCAGUUGCCAUGGAGUCAAUGUUGGGAUACCACCCUUGCAGUAUUGGGUUUCUAACCAGCAGCCGUGAUCCGGCUGGGGGACAAUGUCAGGUGGGGAGUUUGACUGGGGCGGUCGCCUCCGAAAGGGUAUCGGAGGCGCUCAAAGGUUCCCUCAGGAUGGUUGGAAACCAUCCAGAGAGUGCAAAGGCAUAAGGGAGCUUGACUGCGAGACCGACGGGUCGGGCAGGUACGAAAGUAGGACUUAGUGAUCCGGUGGUAUGAAAGUGGGAUUGCCAUCGCUCAACGGAUAAAAGCUACCCUGGGGAUAACAGGCUUAUCACUCCCAAGAGUUCACAUCGACGGAGUGGUUUGGCACCUCGAUGUCGGCUCAUCGCAUCCUGGGGCUGUAGUCGGUCCCAAGGGUUGGGCUGUUCGCCCAUUAAAGCGGUACGCGAGCUGGGUUCAGAACGUCGUGAGACAGUUCGGUCCCUAUCCGGCGUGGGCGUAGGAUAUUUGAGAGGAGCUGCCCUUAGUACGAGAGGACCGGGGUGGACUGGCCGCUGGUGUAUCUGUUGUAUUACCAAGUGCAUAGCAGAGUAGCCAAGCCGGGAAGGGAUAAACGCUGAAGGCAUCUAAGCGUGAAGCCCCCCUCAAGAUGAGAUAUCCCAUAACGUCAAGUUAGUAAGACCCCUUGAAGACGACGAGGUAGAUAGGGCAGAGGUGGAAGUGUGGCAACACAUGGAGCUGACUGUUACUAAUAGGUCGAGGGCAUAACCAA